This 1183-nucleotide ribosomal RNA is filed under the name 'Digitaria sanguinalis' phytoplasma. RNAcentral's name for it is "bacterial SSU rRNA". It matches the Rfam family "Bacterial small subunit ribosomal RNA", at positions 181 to 1364 of the family's 1533-position model. Lineage: Bacteria; Bacillati; Mycoplasmatota; Mollicutes; Acholeplasmatales; Acholeplasmataceae. The record is from RNAcentral.
GGGGAAGGCAUCUUCUUGUUUUUAAAAGACCUAGCAAUAGGUAUGCUUAGGGAGGAGCUUGCGUCACAUUAGUUAGUUGGUGGGGUAAAGGCCUACCAAGACUAUGAUGUGUAGCCGGGCUGAGAGGUUGAACGGCCACAUUGGGACUGAGACACGGCCCAAACUCCUACGGGAGGCAGCAGUAGGGAAUUUUCGGCAAUGGAGGAAACUCUGACCGAGCAACGCCGCGUGAACGAUGAAGUAUUUCGGUACGUAAAGUUCUUUUAUUAGGGAAGAAUAAAUGAUGGAAAAAUCAUUCUGACGGUACCUAAUGAAUAAGCCCCGGCUAACUAUGUGCCAGCAGCCGCGGUAAUACAUAGGGGGCAAGCGUUAUCCGGAAUUAUUGGGCGUAAAGGGUGCGUAGGCGGUUAAAUAAGUUUAUGGUCUAAGUGCAAUGCUCAACAUUGUGAUGCUAUAAAAACUGUUUAGCUAGAGUAAGAUAGAGGCAAGUGGAAUUCCAUGUGUAGUGGUAAAAUGCGUAAAUAUAUGGACGAACACCAAUACCCAAGGCGGCUUGCUGGGUCUUUACUCACGCUGAGGCACGAAAGCGUGGGGAGCAAACAGGAUUAGAUACCCUGGUAGUCCACGCCGUAAACGAUGAGUACUAAACGUUGGGUAAAACCAGUGUUGAAGUUAACACAUUAAGUACUCCGCCUGAGUAGUACGUACGCAAGUAUGAAACUUAAAGGAAUUGACGGGACUCCGCACAAGCGGUGGAUCAUGUUGUUUAAUUUGAAGGUACCCGAAAAACCUCACCAGGUCUUGACAUGCUUCUGCAAAGCUGUAGAAACACAGUGGAGGUUAUCAGUUGCACAGGUGGUGCAUGGUUGUCGUCAGCUCGUGUCGUGAGAUGUUGGGUUAAGUCCCGCAACGAGCGCAACCCUUAUUGUUAGUUACCAGCACGUAAUGGUGGGGACUUUAGCAAGACUGCCAGUGAUAAAUUGGAGGAAGGUGGGGACGACGUCAAAUCAUCAUGCCCCUUAUGACCUGGGCUACAAACGUGAUACAAUGGCUGUUACAAAGGGUAGCUGAAGCGCAAGUUUUUGGCGAAUCUCAAAAAAACAGUCUCAGUUCGGAUUGAAGUCUGCAACUCGACUUCAUGAAGUUGGAAUCGCUAGUAAUCGCGAAUCAGCAAGGUCCGGCU